GACGAACGCUGGCGGCGUGCCUAAAACAUGCAAGUCGAACGGGGUCUUCGGACCCAGUGGCGAACGGCGGAGUAAUACAUAAGCAACGUGCCCUGAAGACUGGGAUAUACGAUGGAAACGUCGGGCAAUACCAGAUGUGGUUGGGAGGAGUCAUCUUCAUCCAAUUAAACGGAUUUAUUCGCUUCGGGAGCGGCUUGUGGCCUAUCAGCUAGUUGGUGAGGUAAAGGCUCACCAAGGCGACGACGGGUAGGGGGUCUGAGAGGAUGAUCCCCUCGAGUGGGACUGAGACACGGCCCACACACCUACGGGUGGCAGCAGUUGGGAAUCUUGCACAAUGGGGGAAACCCUGAUGCAGCGACGCCGCGUGGAGGAUGAAGGAUUUCGGUCUGUAAACUCCUUUUACAGGGAAAGACUUAGGACGGUACCCUGUGAAUAAGCUCCGGCUAACUACGUG
This 454-nucleotide ribosomal RNA is filed under the name uncultured bacterium. RNAcentral's name for it is "bacterial SSU rRNA". It matches the Rfam family "Bacterial small subunit ribosomal RNA", at positions 28 to 507 of the family's 1533-position model. RNAcentral also lists the same sequence under 1 other name. The record is from RNAcentral.